Molecule: non-coding RNA, 500 nt
Organism: Lonchura striata (white-rumped munia)
Lineage: Eukaryota; Metazoa; Chordata; Aves; Passeriformes; Estrildidae
Source: RefSeq, a predicted model, not a curated record
CGGAACCGGAGCAACCGGGGCCGCCCCCGCACAUGCGCAGAGCGGGCGCCCGGCGGCCCGGGCCUCGCUCCGCCCGGGCCCGGCGCCGCCAUGGGCACCACGAUCAGCUCCUGUGCAGAGAGUUGUGAGUUUAUGAAGCACCUCAGCAGUUUCUGUCACUCUUCCUAGAAGGUGUCACGGGAAAACUUCACUCUUUUGUUCCAAGAAUUCAGUGGCAUCCCAGAACGCCGGCGACCUGCUGAGUUGGAUGGCAGCACCCCUAAAAUGUGUGUCCCUCGGCGGCUGCCCAGCGCGGGGAUAGCUGUGCCCGGCCGGCUGCGUGGCGCUGCCAUCUGAUGUGUGCCCAGUGAGCUGGGGUGGGCCUGUAUUCAGCAGCUUCAGGAGCAGUGAAGCUUUCUAUUGCCUGUGAUAUUUAGAGGAAAUUUCUCUUGGUAUUAUUUCCCAGCACCAAACCAACCUGCUCAUGUGCCUCCCCACAGGUGUCUCCAGCACAGGGUUAG